RNAcentral lists this ribosomal RNA (448 nucleotides) under uncultured bacterium. Its description in RNAcentral is "bacterial SSU rRNA". It matches the Rfam family "Bacterial small subunit ribosomal RNA", at positions 355 to 825 of the family's 1533-position model. The record is from RNAcentral.
UGGGGAAUAUUGGACAAUGGGCGCAAGCCUGAUCCAGCCAUGCCGCGUGAGUGACGAAGGCCUUAGGGUUGUAAAGCUCUUUUUGGCGGGGAAGAUAAUGACGGUACCCGCAGAAUAAGCUCCGGCUAACUUCGUGCCAGCAGCCGCGGUAAUACGAAGGGAGCUAGCGUUGUUCGGAAUCACUGGGCGUAAAGCGCACGUAGGUGGGCAGUUAAGUCAGGGGUGAAAGCCCGAGGCUCAACCUCGGAAUUGCCUCUGAUACUGGCUGUCUAGAGUUCGAGAGAGGUGAGUGGAAUUCCUAGUGUAGAGGUGAAAUUCGUAGAUAUUAGGAAGAACACCGGUGGCGAAGGCGGCUCACUGGCUCGAUACUGACACUGAGGUGCGAAAGCGUGGGGAGCAAACAGGAUUAGAUACCCUUGUAGUCCCUGAGCGGGCUGGCAAGGCGCAU